UGGGGAAUUUUGGACAAUGGACGCAAGUCUGAUCCAGCCAUGCCGCGUGCAGGAUGAAGGCCUUCGGGUUGUAAACUGCUUUUGUACGGAACGAAAAGACUCCUUCUAAUAAAGGGGGUCCAUGACGGUACCGUAAGAAUAAGCACCGGCUAACUACGUGCCAGCAGCCGCGGUAAUACGUAGGGUGCGAGCGUUAAUCGGAAUUACUGGGCGUAAAGCGUGCGCAGGCGGUUAUGCAAGACAGAGGUGAAAUCCCCGGGCUCAACCUGGGAACUGCCUUUGUGACUGCAUAGCUAGAGUACGGUAGAGGGGGAUGGAAUUCCGCGUGUAGCAGUGAAGUGCGUAGAUAUGCGGAGGAACACCGAUGGCGAAGGCAAUCCCCUGGACCUGUACUGACGCUCAUGCACGAAAGCGUGGGGAGCAAACA
This 427-nucleotide ribosomal RNA is filed under the name uncultured bacterium. RNAcentral's name for it is "bacterial SSU rRNA". It matches the Rfam family "Bacterial small subunit ribosomal RNA", at positions 355 to 774 of the family's 1533-position model. The record is from RNAcentral.